GCGGUGGAGUAUGUGGUUUAAUCGAUGCAACGCGAAGAACCUUACCUGGUCUUGACAUCCCGGAGACCUUUAGGAAACUAGGGGGUGCUUCCAUCUGGAAGAAUCUGGAGACAGGUGCUGCAUGGCUGUCGUCAGCUCGUGUCGUGAGAUGUUGGGUUAAGUCCCGCAACGAGCGCAACCCUUGCCUUUAGUUGCCAGCAGUUCGGCUGGGCACUCUAAAGGGACUGCCGGUGUUAAACCGGAGGAAGGUGGGGAUGACGUCAAGUCCUCAUGGCCUUUAUGACCAGGGCUACACACGUACUACAAUGGCCGAUACAAAGGGCAGCGACACUGCGAGGUGAAGCCAAUCCCGUAAAAUCGGUCUCAGUCCGGAUUGGAGUCUGCAACUCGACUCCAUGAAGUUGGAAUCGCUAGUAAUCGUGGAUCAGCAUGCCACGGUGAAUACGUUCCCGGGCCUU
Molecule: ribosomal RNA, 458 nt
Filed under: uncultured Desulfobulbus sp.
Lineage: Bacteria; Pseudomonadati; Thermodesulfobacteriota; Desulfobulbia; Desulfobulbales; Desulfobulbaceae
Description: bacterial SSU rRNA
Rfam family: Bacterial small subunit ribosomal RNA
Source: RNAcentral